AGUUUGAUUCUGGCUUAAAAUUAAAUUUAUUUUAUAUUGGUUUGACAUGUGAGGUUUUCUGUGAUUUAAUUAAUCUAAAUGAUUAAAUUAUUUUUAAUCGCAGUUUUUAAUUUUAUUUUUUAUAAAAAUUAGAAUUAGCCAUAUAUAAUUAAUUCCAACUAAUUUUGUGCCAGCAGUUGCGGUUAUACAAUUGGAGUAAAUAAAUUAGGCUGACUAUUAUUAAUUUAUAAUAAAUUUAAUUAUCUGUUUUAGGAUAUUAAGUGAAAUUUUAUUUUAAAUAUUUAAUUUGGGUUAAUGUAAUAAGAAAGCUAUGAUUAAACUAGGAUUAGAUACCCUAUUAUUUUAGCUGUUAAUUUGUUAGUCUUAAUAUUAAUAGUUAUGAUCUUUAAACUAAAAGAAUUUGGCGGUGAUUUAGCCUUGCUAGAGGAACCUGUUCUAUAAUCGAUAGUCCACGUUAAAUUUCACUUUAUUUGUGCUUGUAUAUCUCUGUCAUUGAAUGUCUUAUGAGAGUAUCUUCUGUAAUUUUUAUUGGAGUAAAUGGUAGGUCAAGGUGCAGCUAUAAUAAAGAAGAGAUGGGUUACAUUAAAUUUAUUUUUGGUUAUAUUUAUGGAAAUAAAUAAAUAAAUUGGAUUUAGGAGUAAUUUUUUUUAAAUUAAAAAAGUGAUUUUAGCUCUGAAUCAUGCACAUAUCGCCCGUCAUUCCUAUUUUAAAUAGGACAAGUCGUAACAAAGUAAGGCUAUCGGAAGAUGGUCUUAGAAG
Molecule: non-coding RNA, 759 nt
Filed under: Amblythyreus gestroi
Lineage: Eukaryota; Metazoa; Arthropoda; Insecta; Hemiptera; Phymatidae
Source: RNAcentral